Molecule: ribosomal RNA, 603 nt
Filed under: uncultured bacterium
Lineage: Bacteria
Description: bacterial SSU rRNA
Rfam family: Bacterial small subunit ribosomal RNA
Source: RNAcentral
GCAAGUCGAGCGGUAGAGAGGUGCUUGCACCUCUUGAGAGCGGCGGACGGGUGAGUAAAGCCUAGGAAUCUGCCUGGUAGUGGGGGAUAACGCUCGGAAACGGACGCUAAUACCGCAUACGUCCUACGGGAGAAAGCAGGGGACCUUCGGGCCUUGCGCUAUCAGAUGAGCCUAGGUCGGAUUAGCUAGUUGGUGAGGUAAUGGCUCACCAAGGCGACGAUCCGUAACUGGUCUGAGAGGAUGAUCAGUCACACUGGAACUGAGACACGGUCCAGACUCCUACGGGAGGCAGCAGUGGGGAAUAUUGGACAAUGGGCGAAAGCCUGAUCCAGCCAUGCCGCGUGUGUGAAGAAGGUCUUCGGAUUGUAAAGCACUUUAAGUUGGGAGGAAGGGCAUUAACCUAAUACGUUAGUGUUUUGACGUUACCGACAGAAUAAGCACCGGCUAACUCUGUGCCAGCAGCCGCGGUAAUACAGAGGGUGCAAGCGUUAAUCGGAAUUACUGGGCGUAAAGCGCGCGUAGGUGGUUCGUUAAGUUGGAUGUGAAAUCCCCGGGCUCAACCUGGGAACUGCAUUCAAAACUGUCGAGCUAGAGUAUGGUAGA